UCUGGGAUAGCUCAAUUGUUAAAGCACGAGACUCUUAAUUUCAGGGUCAUGGGUUUGAGCCCCACAUUGGGAA
Non-coding RNA from Podarcis lilfordi (Lilford's wall lizard), 73 nucleotides. Lineage: Eukaryota; Metazoa; Chordata; Lepidosauria; Squamata; Lacertidae. The record is from the annotation of a GenBank genome assembly.